This 468-nucleotide ribosomal RNA is filed under the name uncultured bacterium. RNAcentral's name for it is "partial 16S ribosomal RNA". It matches the Rfam family "Bacterial small subunit ribosomal RNA", at positions 28 to 507 of the family's 1533-position model. The record is from RNAcentral.
GACGAACGCUGGCGGCGUGCUUAACACAUGCAAGUCGAACGGAAAGGCCCUGCUUUUGUGGGGUGCUCGAGUGGCGAACGGGUGAGUAACACGUGAGUAACCUGCCCUUGACUUUGGGAUAACUUCAGGAAACUGGGGCUAAUACCGGAUAGGAGCUCCUGCUGCAUGGUGGGGGUUGGAAAGUUUCGGCGGUUGGGGAUGGACUCGCGGCUUAUCAGCUUGUGGGUGGGGUAGUGGCUCACCAAGGCUUUGACGGGUAGCCGGCCUGAGAGGGUGACCGGCCACAUUGGGGCUGAGAUACGGCCCAGACUCCUGCGGGAGGCAGCAGUGGGGAAUAUUGCCCAAUGGGCGGAAGCCUGAUGCAACAACGCCGCGUGCGGGAUGACGGCCUUCGGGUUGUAACCCGCUUUCGCCUGUGACGAAGCGUGAGUGACGGUAAUGGGUAAAGAAGCACCGGCUAACUACGUG